This is a long non-coding RNA of Drosophila novamexicana, 672 nucleotides long. RefSeq lists it as uncharacterized. Lineage: Eukaryota; Metazoa; Arthropoda; Insecta; Diptera; Drosophilidae. The record is from RefSeq and is a predicted model, not a curated record. The transcript has 2 exons.
AACAUUAUUAAAAAGACGACAAAUCGAAAGAAAAAAGCCAACAGAACCUGCUAAAAUAUACAAAUCACUAAUAUAUGUACCACGACUAUCAGAACGCCUCACAAACUCAGACUGUUAUAACAAACAAGAUAUAAAAGUAGCACACAAACCGACGAAUACAUUACAAAAAUUCUUCAACAAGAUAAAGUCGAAAAUCCCGAUGAUCGACAAAAGCAACGUCGUUUACCAAAUACCAUGUGGCGGGGAAAACAACAACAAGUGCAAUAGUGUCUACAUAGGUACAACAAAAUCGAAGCUAAAAACAAGGAUUAGUCAACAUAAAUCGGACUUCAAACUAAGACAUCAAAAUAAUAUACAGAAAACAGCACUUAUGACCCAUUGUAUAAAAAGCAACCACACACCAAAUUUUGAUGAAACAACAAUCUUACAACAAGAACAACACUAUAACAAGCGACACACAUUGGAAAUGCUACACAUAAUUAACACACCAACCAACAAACGACUAAACUACAAGACAGACACAGAAAAUUGCGCUCACUUGUACAGACACCUCUUAAACAGCCAAACAACCUCAGUAACAAUCUCCACGUCAAAAAGCGCAGACGUGUAAAAUAAUUGCCCUGAAGACGGUUUGCCGAUGUGCAACCGAAAUAUAUCGGAAGAAAAUUAAAA